RNAcentral lists this long non-coding RNA (1079 nucleotides) under Junco hyemalis (dark-eyed junco). RNAcentral describes it as "lncRNA (ENSJHYG00000000684.1)". The record is from RNAcentral. Lineage: Eukaryota; Metazoa; Chordata; Aves; Passeriformes; Passerellidae.
CUCGGUCCAGCAUCGGGCCCCCAGCCGGAGGCAGCUCCGGAGGGUGUCACCACAGCACAGGGCCUGGCCCGGCGCCGCGGCCCCUCCGCCCGCAGUGGUUCAGCCCGGCAGAUCCGGGGCCGCCUCAGGGCGCCGCCCCCGCCGCGGCCGCGCAGCCGCCAGGUAAGGCCGGGCCGGGCCCCAGCGGGCUGCGCUGGGCCGGGGGUGCCGCGGGGUCUCGGACGGGGCUGCGCCGCCGCCAGGUGGAACCAGGUGUGCAACCACUGGGACCUGCAUCUGAAGGACAUGAAAAUUUCCCUCCCAAAAAUGCAGUAACAAACCAGGAGAGCAGCAAAGAGAUACAGCAGCUGGUGAGUUGUGAGCCUGGUUUGGGGGAAGGAGUCUGCUGCUUUUUUAUUUUUGUUGGGGGUUUCAUAUGUGCAGUCCAGGUAGAGAUUUUGGGGACUGAAGUCCUUUUAGGUGCAGCUGCCCUGCAAAAGUUGGAAGCUUGGGGAACUGGAAGAAAAACACAGGCCAUGUGCAUGCAGUGUUGCUGGGUGCCAGUCCAGGUGCUUGGCUGGCAGGGGAAUAUGUCACACUCAGGUGAGAGGGAAACAUGCCUGUAGGUUCUGUGGUGUGUUUGGUUUAGACUUAUCUGAACUGGGGACAGAUGUGGAUGAGGAAUGUGCCCCUUGUGAAUUAUUCCAGCAAUUAAGACAGUGCACAGGGAGGUUUAGCAGCUCCUGUCCAUGUGUAGCGAGUAGCUACAGAUCAGGAGGAUGUCUGUGCUCUGUUAGGUGUCACUGGAAUUAGAAUAGGAGCUAAAAUAGUACAGCUGGUGUUUAAAGAUGAAAAUUUUAUACAGAAAAUCUGUUGUUUUGUCCCCCACACCUUGUCCUCUCUACUGUUCUGUAUAAAUAGGAACAGUCCAUGCAUGUGGGAGCAGAAUUAUUUCCAGAUAGAAGGUUUGGGGAAGAGCGGAAUAGUGGGGUUUUCCUUUUGAUUUUCCUAACUUUCAGAAAAAUCUCCCUUGAGUUCUACAUUGUUUAACUUUGUCACAAAGAGAUUUUCAUAAGAAAAUAAAGAUAACUAAUGCAGCA